AGAACGACUCUCGGCAACGGAUAUCUCGGCUCUCGCAUCGAUGAAGAACGUAGCGAAAUGCGAUACUUGGUGUGAAUUGCAGAAUCCCGUGAACCAUUGAGUCUUUGAACGCAAGUUGCGCCCGAAGCCUUCUGGCCGAGGGCACGUCUGUCUGGGCGUCACGC
Molecule: ribosomal RNA, 164 nt
Filed under: Rheum coreanum
Lineage: Eukaryota; Viridiplantae; Streptophyta; Magnoliopsida; Caryophyllales; Polygonaceae
Description: 5.8S ribosomal RNA
Rfam family: 5.8S ribosomal RNA
About the family: 5.8S ribosomal RNA (5.8S rRNA) is a component of the large subunit of the eukaryotic ribosome. It is transcribed by RNA polymerase I as part of the 45S precursor that also contains 18S and 28S rRNA. Functionally, it is thought that 5.8S rRNA may be involved in ribosome translocation.
Source: RNAcentral